This 187-nucleotide long non-coding RNA is filed under the name Coturnix japonica (Japanese quail). RNAcentral's name for it is "lncRNA (ENSCJPG00005002711.1)". Lineage: Eukaryota; Metazoa; Chordata; Aves; Galliformes; Phasianidae. The record is from RNAcentral.
GCGCUAGGUCAUUUAGUUAUCCUUGGUGGUCUUGUUUAUAUCCCCCAAUAUUAACCCCACAUACCCCCUAUAUGGGGUAUAUGGGGUUAUAUGGGGUUAUAUGGGGUUAUAUGGGGUUAUAUGGGGGGUAUAUGGGGUUAUAGGGACCUACGCGUGGAUGGCACCCGAGGUCAUAAGGACAUCCACC